This 1312-nucleotide long non-coding RNA is filed under the name Anser brachyrhynchus (Pink-footed goose). RNAcentral describes it as "lncRNA (ENSABRG00000012349.1)". The record is from RNAcentral. Lineage: Eukaryota; Metazoa; Chordata; Aves; Anseriformes; Anatidae.
AUGCGAGGACUGCUGCUGAAUAGAAAUAGGAAAGCGGGAAGGCUUCUCAGCUGGGCAGGGAGCUCUGCCACACUGGCCCCUUCCUCCUGCUCGGGCUGGAUCAGAAGCAAGGUACAGCAGUCAUGUCAUGCCUGGCUUCGUCUGUUUAUUUCAACAGUCCUUGUCCCACCAAAAACUGGAGGUAGAGCCAUUAGGAGAAUCAAGCAAAAUGCAGGUGUUAGCCUUAGAUGUGGCAGAACAGCAGUUCCAAAGGGAAAAAACCUCCUUCUGAGCCAAAUUCCUUGCUGUUUGAUGUGCAAAGAUCUCCGAUAAGAUCUCAACACCAAGACUCUGCCUGUCUCCCUGCACAGCAGUUAGAAAGAUGCUAUUACCAUUUUAAUCGAAUUAAGCAUUCCUCCUGUGAUCCUUGGAUUUUUUCAGCCCUCCGCACCACGGUGCUUAGCCCCUUGCACCAGCUGCUCUGCCUCCUUUUUCUCUGAGUUAGUUGCAGUUCAUCACUUUGCAUAAUAUGUAGUUUGUAAAGCACUUUACAGUGACAGGCACUUGCGGUGAUUUUACUCUAGCCUAAUUCCAUCAGCUGCAGUAGUGCUGUUCCUAGCUUUGCUGAAACAAGAUCAGAAUUUGACCUCAAAACACCCCAGUGAGAGCAACAUUAUUUAUACUUAUUUUGUAGAAGGAGAAAUUGAAACACCGAGAGUUUAAGUGACUUGCCUGAAGGCAUGAAGCUUCUCAGUGCCAUAGCGGAGACUCAGAUGCAUGAAUCCAGAAGCCACUGUCCUUGCUGUAAAUGACAGAUGGACUUUGAAAUCAGGAUUGUGCUCAGAUGGAAAAAAUCUACUAACAUCCAUGGGCUUACAAAACUAGUUUAAGCCGUGGAAGAGUCAGGCCUCUGCCUACUUUCUCCGAGCUCUAAGUGUGACAGUUGCUUACAGAAGAGGGAAAAUCCUCUUUGAAAAGGAGAGUUCUGCAGGUUUGGAAACUGUCCAGCAACAGAAAGCCAGUUCUUACCUUCUCCCUUCAUAACAGAACACCACACUGUGGAGAGUAUAGUUUAAAAAGCAAAACAAAAACAAAUAACACAGAAAACUACCAAAGAAAAACAUAUGCCAAGUUUAAUUUCAUAAUUUUCUUUUUUCUUUUUCCCUAUUUGUAAUUAAAUGCUUAAUUUAUAAAGGUUUAUUAUAACAUUGCAAUUGUGUAUUCCUCUAUCUGAGAAACUCAGCGGAUCUUCUUCCCUGGGACUGUUGCAGUGACAUUACCAUACGCAGGAGACAGAUCAAACUUUUAAGACUAGCAAUCUCAUGGGUACUAA